RNAcentral lists this ribosomal RNA (254 nucleotides) under uncultured bacterium. RNAcentral's name for it is "partial 16S ribosomal RNA". It matches the Rfam family "Bacterial small subunit ribosomal RNA", at positions 524 to 776 of the family's 1533-position model. The record is from RNAcentral.
UACGUAGGGUGCGAGCGUUGUCCGGAAUUAUUGGGCGUAAAGAGCUCGUAGGCGGUGUGUCACGUCGGCCGUGAAAACCCGCAGCUUAACUGUGGGCGUGCGGUCGAUACGGGCAUCACUGGAGUUCGGCAGGGGAGACUGGAAUUCCGGGUGUAGUGGUGAAAUGCGUAGAGAUCCGGAGGAACGCCAGAGACGAAGGUGGCUACCUGGCCCUGACCUGACACUGAGGCGCGAAAGCGUGGGGAGCGAACCGG